Xylariaceae sp. AK1471 is the source of this 123-nucleotide non-coding RNA. NCBI's taxonomy places the organism in Eukaryota, Fungi, Ascomycota, Sordariomycetes, Xylariales, Xylariaceae. The record is from the annotation of a GenBank genome assembly.
UCUUCAUUAGUCUAGUAGUUAAGAUACCUGCUUGUCAUCCAACAAACUACUGUUCACGAUAGUGAAAUCUAGUAGUUAGAAGCCAAGCCGCAGGUGGCCGGGGUUCGAUUCCCCGAUCGAGAG